AGUGAACGCUGGCGGUAGGCCUAACACAUGCCAGUCGAACGGCAGCACAGUAAGAGCUUGCUCUUACGGGUGGCGAGUGGCGGACGGGUGAGGAAUACAUCGGAAUCUACUUUUUCGUGGGGGAUAACGUAGGGAAACUUACGCUAAUACCGCAUACGACCUACGGGUGAAAGCAGGGGAUCUUCGGACCUUGCGCGAUUGAAUGAGCCGAUGUCGGAUUAGCUAGUUGGCGGGGUAAAGGCCCACCAAGGCGACGAUCCGUAGCUGGUCUGAGAGGAUGAUCAGCCACACUGGAACUGAGACACGGUCCAGACUCCUACGGGAGGCAGCAGUGGGGAAUAUUGGACAAUGGGCGCAAGCCUGAUCCAGCCAUACCGCGUGGGUGAAGAAGGCCUUCGGGUUGUAAAGCCCCUUUGUUGGGAAAGAAAAGCAGCAGGUUAAUACCCCGCUGUUCUGACGGGACCCAAAGAAUAAGCACCGGCUAACUUCGU
This 491-nucleotide ribosomal RNA is filed under the name uncultured bacterium. Its description in RNAcentral is "partial 16S ribosomal RNA". It matches the Rfam family "Bacterial small subunit ribosomal RNA", at positions 29 to 506 of the family's 1533-position model. The record is from RNAcentral.